RNAcentral lists this ribosomal RNA (491 nucleotides) under Alternaria alternata. RNAcentral describes it as "eukaryotic LSU rRNA". The stretch from base 149 to 302 matches the Rfam family "5.8S ribosomal RNA". Lineage: Eukaryota; Fungi; Ascomycota; Dothideomycetes; Pleosporales; Pleosporaceae. The record is from RNAcentral.
GCUGGAACCUCUCGGGGUUACAGCCUUGCUGAAUUAUUCACCCUUGUCUUUUGCGUACUUCUUGUUUCCUUGGUGGGUUCGCCCACCACUAGGACAAACAUAAACCUUUUGUAAUUGCAAUCAGCGUCAGUAACAAAUUAAUAAUUACAACUUUCAACAACGGAUCUCUUGGUUCUGGCAUCGAUGAAGAACGCAGCGAAAUGCGAUAAGUAGUGUGAAUUGCAGAAUUCAGUGAAUCAUCGAAUCUUUGAACGCACAUUGCGCCCUUUGGUAUUCCAAAGGGCAUGCCUGUUCGAGCGUCAUUUGUACCCUCAAGCUUUGCUUGGUGUUGGGCGUCUUGUCUCUAGCUUUGCUGGAGACUCGCCUUAAAGUAAUUGGCAGCCGGCCUACUGGUUUCGGAGCGCAGCACAAGUCGCACUCUCUAUCAGCAAAGGUCUAGCAUCCAUUAAGCCUUUUUUUCAACUUUUGACCUCGGAUCAGGUAGGGAUACC